CCUACGGGAGGCAGCAGUGAGGAAUAUUGGUCAAUGUACGCAAGUCUGAACCAGCCAUGCCGCGUGCAGGAAGACGGCUCUAUGAGUUGUAAACUGCUUUUGUACGAGGGUAACCGCAGAUACGCGUAUCUGUCUGAAAGUAUCGUACGAAUAAGGAUCGGCUAAGUCCGUGCCAGCCGCCGCGGUAAUACGGAGGAUUCAAGCGUUAUCCGGAUUUAUUGGGUUUAAAGGGUGCGUAGGCGGUCGGAGAAGGUUGAGGUGAAAUCCCGAGGCUCAACUUCGGAAUUGCCUCGGAUAAUGUUCUGCUAGAGAGUAGUUGCGGUAGGCGGAAUGUAUGGUGUAGCGGUGAAAUGCUUAGAGAUCAUACAGAACACCGAUUGCGAAGGCAGCUUACCAAGCUACUUCUGACGUGGAGGCACGAAAGCGUGGGGAGCAAACAGGAUUAGAUACCCUUGUAGUC
RNAcentral lists this ribosomal RNA (460 nucleotides) under uncultured bacterium. Its description in RNAcentral is "partial 16S ribosomal RNA". It matches the Rfam family "Bacterial small subunit ribosomal RNA", at positions 338 to 795 of the family's 1533-position model. The record is from RNAcentral.